GAUGAACGCUGGCGGCGUGCCUAAUACAUGCAAGUCGAGCGAACAGACGAGGAGCUUGCUCCUCUGACGUUAGCGGCGGACGGGUGAGUAACACGUGGAUAACCUACCUAUAAGACUGGGAUAACUUCGGGAAACCGGAGCUAAUACCGGAUAAUAUAUUGAACCGCAUGGUUCAAUAGUGAAAGACGGUUUUGCUGUCACUUAUAGAUGGAUCCGCGCCGCAUUAGCUAGUUGGUAAGGUAACGGCUUACCAAGGCAACGAUGCGUAGCCGACCUGAGGGGGGGAUCGGCAACACGGGAAAGAAGAAGAGGCCCAAAACCCGAGGGGGGGCAGGAGUAGGGAACUUACGGAAAGGGGCAAAGGCCUAAGGGGAGAAAGCGGGGGAAGUAAGGAGGGGUUUGGAAGAGUAAAAGCUGUUUAUAAGGGAAAAAAAAAAGUGUAAGAAAGUGGACAAGUAUGAAGGGAACCGAAGAAGAAGACCAGGCUAAACUAGGG
This 496-nucleotide ribosomal RNA is filed under the name uncultured bacterium. RNAcentral's name for it is "partial 16S ribosomal RNA". The stretch from base 15 to 380 matches the Rfam family "Bacterial small subunit ribosomal RNA", at positions 42 to 397 of the family's 1533-position model. The record is from RNAcentral.